This 67-nucleotide transfer RNA is filed under the name Marmota monax (woodchuck). RNAcentral describes it as "tRNA.Ala". Lineage: Eukaryota; Metazoa; Chordata; Mammalia; Rodentia; Sciuridae. The record is from RNAcentral.
GGCUGUGGCUCAGUGGUAGAAUGCUUUCCUAGCACGUAUGAGGCACUGAGUUCAAUCCCCAGCACCA